UACGUAGGGUGCAAGCGUUGUCCGGAAUUAUUGGGCGUAAAGAGCUCGUAGGCGGUCUGUCGCGUCUGCUGUGAAAACCUGGGGCUUAACCCCGGGCCUGCAGUGGGUACGGGCAGACUAGAGUGUGGUAGGGGAGACUGGAAUUCCUGGUGUAGCGGUGAAAUGCGCAGAUAUCAGGAGGAACACCGGUGGCGAAGGCGGGUCUCUGGGCAGUAACUGACGCUGAGGAGCGAAAGCGUGGGGAGCGAACAGG
RNAcentral lists this ribosomal RNA (253 nucleotides) under uncultured bacterium. Its description in RNAcentral is "partial 16S ribosomal RNA". It matches the Rfam family "Bacterial small subunit ribosomal RNA", at positions 524 to 776 of the family's 1533-position model. The record is from RNAcentral.